RNAcentral lists this long non-coding RNA (526 nucleotides) under Phoenix dactylifera (date palm). Its description in RNAcentral is "long non-coding RNA (PDAC_LNC022504)". The record is from RNAcentral. Lineage: Eukaryota; Viridiplantae; Streptophyta; Magnoliopsida; Arecales; Arecaceae.
CCUCCCAGGCCGCCCGAAGCUCCGCGGUCACCACUGAUGAGUCAAAAAUCCUCCGUCCACCUGCCGCCACAAGUCUGGCGUCAUGAUCCCUAAUAAUAAAUCCCCACACCUCCGCAGCUCCCAUCCGCUGAUACGCUGCCAUCAAAGUUCACUUUAAGAAAGCCAGGGGGUGGGGGCACCCAGGAUACUAAUAUCAUCCUGGACGCUGCAGGAGCAGAAUGGGGGCUCCAGAUGUCCCUGACCAACCCAGUAGGUGGAGCCUCAAUAGUGCCGGUGAUCUCCGCCGCAUGCCGUAGAGCUCGGUCCGCCACCAUCCUCGGGUGGAGGCUCUCGCCGUCGAAAAUCCGUGUAUUCCUCUCCAGCUAGCAGUGAUAGGCCAGGUAGGCUUCACGAGUCCCCCUCUCCUCUCGUACAGACCCCCGGAUCGAGGCCUCCAAAUAUCGUAGGAACUCCUCAGUGGACGUCCACAUCUGCCUCUAGUCAAGCUGAGCUGAAGCAUAUCUCCAUAUCUGACUGGCUCUCGGGC